RNAcentral lists this ribosomal RNA (497 nucleotides) under uncultured bacterium. RNAcentral describes it as "partial 16S ribosomal RNA". It matches the Rfam family "Bacterial small subunit ribosomal RNA", at positions 28 to 507 of the family's 1533-position model. The record is from RNAcentral.
GACGAACGCUGGCGGCGUGCCUAAUACAUGCAAGUUGAGCGCUGAAGGUUGGUACUUGUACCAACUGGAUGAGCAGCGAACGGGUGAGUAACGCGUGGGGAAUCUGCCUUUGAGCGGGGGACAACAUUUGGAAACGAAUGCUAAUACCGCAUAAAAACUUUAAACACAAGUUUUAAGUUUGAAAGAUGCAAUUGCAGCACUCAAAGAUGAUCCCGCGUUGUAUUAGCUAGUUGGUGAGGUAAAGGCUCACCAAGGCGAUGAUACAUAGCCGACCUGAGAGGGUGGUCGGCCACAUUGGGACGGGGACACGGCCCAAAAUCCUACGGGAGGCAGCAGUAGGGGAUCUUCGGCAAUGGACGAAAGGCUGACCGAGCAACGCCGCGUGAGUGAAGAAGGUUUUCGGAUCGUAAAACUCUGUUGGUAGAGAAGAACGUUGGUGAGAGUGGAAAGCUCAUCAAGUGACGGUACCUACCCAGAAAGGGACGGCUAACUACGUG